CAGCCGCCACGGGAAUACGGAGGGUGCAAGCGUUAAUCGGAAUUACUGGGCGUAAAGCGCACGCAGGCGGUUUGUUAAGUCAGAUGUGAAAUCCCCGAGCUUAACUUGGGAACUGCAUUUGAAACUGGCAAGCUAGAGUCUUGUAGAGGGGGGUAGAAUUCCAGGUGUAGCGGUGAAAUGCGUAGAGAUCUGGAGGAAUACCGGUGGCGAAGGCGGCCCCCUGGACAAAGACUGACGCUCAGGUGCGAAAGCGUGGGGAGCGAACAGGAUUAGAUACCCGAGUAGUCCCUGUCUCUUAUAC
This 301-nucleotide ribosomal RNA is filed under the name uncultured bacterium. Its description in RNAcentral is "partial 16S ribosomal RNA". It matches the Rfam family "Bacterial small subunit ribosomal RNA", at positions 509 to 807 of the family's 1533-position model. The record is from RNAcentral.